UCUCUUCCUGCAGUGAUGGUGUCAUACCAGCCCAUGGAACAGUUCCCAUCAAAUAAGCCGUGAAUGCACCACACCAGCAAGAACAAUAAGAGCCGAGGUUCUGAAUUGUUUAAUCAAAAGAAGAGUCAAAAUAAGCUACACCCAGAUUACUGAGAAAGGUGAAAUGAAAACAAGCUCAAAACCAAAUUCCAGGAAGAUGCUGUCUUUGUAUUGACUUACCAUUUCAUGUUUUCAUACAUGUCAAAGUCUUGAAGAUUCGGUCAUUAGUCUUCUGCUUCCUAAAGCAAGAAAGUAAAUGCUGACUUGUGUUAUUUGCCCCAGAUGCCACCGGAAAUAUCAUCUUCUCCCCAGACGCUGGUUUGCAAGCAUAGCAGCACCCAAAGGCUGACCUAUUUCCCCUAUAGCCCAAGCUCAGAGAGAUCUCCCGUCUGGCCACAAUGAUCUACAGGAGAGGAAGAAAGCUAUCUAGGGAUGAGAUCUAGAAUCAACUGAGAGAGAAGCUUAAACAUCACCAGUUACUUUAAUGACCAUCCGCAGACCCACCCUGUGCAAAGGAAGGAGCUAGGCCGUGCGCCCUGGGCGUCAUGAUCCUCCUGCGGGCCUCCGAAGUGCGGCAGCUGCUCCACAAUAAGUUCGUGGUCAUCCUGGGGGACUCUGUGCAUAGGGCGGUGUACAAGGACCUGGUACUUCUGCUGCAGAAGGACUGCCUGCUCACUCCCCAGCAGCUCAAAGCAAAGGGGGAGCUGAACUUCGAACAAGAUGAACUGGUGGACGGAGGCCAGCGCGGCCGCAUGCACAACGGCCCUAACUACCGUGAAGUUCGCGAGUUCCGCUCCGACCACCAUCUGGUAUGGUCGGAACUCCUGGUGGAGCUACCUGGAAAACCUGGAGAACCUGUUCCAGUGCCUGGGCCAGGUGCUGCCCGAGUCUUGCCUCCUGGUGUGGAACACGGCCAUGCCUGUGGGCGAGGAAGUCACCGGGGGUUUCCUUCCGCCCAAGCUCCGGCAGCAGAAGGGCACCUUCCUGAAAAACGAAGUGGUCGAAGCCAACUUCUACAGCGCCACCGAGGCACGUAAACAUAACUUCGAUGUACUGGACUUGCAUUUUUACUUCCACCACGCGAGGGAGAACCUGCACUCGGACGGGGUGCACUGGAAUGGACGCGUGCACCGCUGCCUCUCCCAGCUGCUGCUGGCCCACGUGGCUGACGCCUGGGGUGUGGAGUUGCCCCAGCGCCAUCCUGUGGGCGAGUGGAUCAAGAAGAAAAAACCUGGCCCGAGAGUUGAAGGGCCGCCCCAGGCCAACAGAAAUCACCCGGCCUUACCUCUGUCCCCACCCUUACCUUCCCCCACAUACUGCCCCCUGCUUGGGUUGCCACCUCAGCGAUUGCCGCUGCUCCCGCUCCUGCCCCCACAGCCUCCUCCUCCCAUUCCCCUUCACCAGGGAAUGCCCCGGUUCCCACAGGGUCCCCCAGAUGCCUGUUUUUCCUCAGACCAUACUUUCCAGUCAGAUCAAUUCUAUUGCCAUUCAGAUGUCCCCUCAUCAGCCCAUACAGGUUUCUUCUUCCAAGACAACUUUGCGAUUGGUCCCCAGCUGCCUAUGCCCUUCUUCCCCACACCCCGUUAUCAGCGGCCUGCCCCUGUGGUCCAUAGGGGUUUUGGCAGGUAUCGUCCCCGUGGCCCCUAUGUGCCCUGGGGACAGCGGCCUAGACCUUCAAAGAGAAGGGCCCUAGCCAACCCGGAGCCAAGGCCUCAAUAGAUGGACCUAGGCCUUAUUUCCUCUUUAUGAGCAUGGAUUGGACAGAUCUGACACUUCCUUUCCAUUGCUUGGCCUGGACAGACUGACCUUGUUAACUUAAGCCUGGAGUCCAUGCCUGGUCUUUUUGUUCAUUGCUAUUACCAAGAAAGCCAAGGAGGAGCAGUCUGACUCAUUCUUCUUGGCUGCAGCCUCUUCCCCACUUCCUGGGGGUGACCCAGCAUUAUUCCUGCCUCCCCACUCUAUUCUCUUUGCCUUUGUGUAAAACUAAAAUUGAAAUAAAGAAGUUGCACAAAAGUAGUUGUGGGUUUUGCAUGUCUAUAUUUAAUGGAUGCCUCUCCAUUAAACAAUUAGUUCUUAGUAUGUUUUGGCUCUGUGCCCCCACCCAAAUCUCAUCUUGAAUUGUAAUAAUCCCCAUGUGUCAAGGGCGGGACCAUGUGCAGGUAAUUGAAUCAUGGGGGUGGUUUCCCCUAUGCUGUUCUCAUUAUAAUGAGUGAGUCUCACCAGAUCUGAUGGGUUGUUGUUGUUGUUUAGACAGAAUUUUGCUCUUGUUGCGCUGGCUGGAGUGCAAUGGCGCGAUCUCAGCUCACCACAACCUCCUCCUCCCAGGUUCAAGCAACUCCCUUGCCUCAGCCUCCUGAGUAGCUGUGAUUACAGGCAUGCAGCACCACUCCUGGCUAAUUUUGUAUUUUUAGUAGAGACGAGAUUUCUCUGUUGGUCAGGCUGGUCUCAAACUCCCGACCUCAGGUGAUCCGCCCACCUUGGCCUCCCAAAGUGCUAGGAUUGAGCCACUGGGUCCAGCCACCACUUCUCUGUUUUUAAGAAUGUUAACAUAACUAAGACUGUUUAAAUGCUAGGCUCACUGUAUCACUCAACUAGUGAAAUGUUAAUACUUAGAUAAAAUAGUCAAAAUCAGAUGUGAUUAAAAUUGUUCAAAUAAUAGGAUUUUUCAUCGCAUUGAUUUGACUGGUUUGUAGCUCCCCAAUACCACCAUCCCUAAAUUUGACAAGAAUUAGGACAUGCUGUCUUGCAAAAAUGAGGUUCAUGAAGUCACAAG
This is a long non-coding RNA of Rhinopithecus bieti (black snub-nosed monkey), 2812 nucleotides long. The record is from Ensembl. Lineage: Eukaryota; Metazoa; Chordata; Mammalia; Primates; Cercopithecidae.